RNAcentral lists this ribosomal RNA (477 nucleotides) under uncultured bacterium. RNAcentral describes it as "partial 16S ribosomal RNA". It matches the Rfam family "Bacterial small subunit ribosomal RNA", at positions 899 to 1397 of the family's 1533-position model. The record is from RNAcentral.
ACUCAAAUGAAUAGACGGGGACCCGCACAAGCAGCGGAGCGUGUGGUUUAAUUCGACGCAACGCGCAUGACCUCACCCAGGUUUGACAUGCAGCUGCAAUCUUCUGAAAGGGAGACGCCUUCGAGGGUGCUGCACAGAUGCUGCAUGGCUGUCGUCAGCUCGUGUCGUGAGAUGUUGGGUUCAGUCCCGCAACGAGCGCAACCCCUGCGGCCAGUUACUUGUGUCUGGCCGGACUGCCCUUCGGGGAGGAAGGCGGGGAUGACGUCAAGUCCGCAUGGCUCUUACACCUGGGGCCACACACACGCUACAAUGGGACGGACAAUACGUCGCGAACCGGCAACGGUGAGCAAAUCGCUAACCCGUUCCUCAGUGCAGAUCGGGGGCUGAAACUCGCCCCCGUGAAGGCGGAGUUGCUAGUAACCGCGCAUCAGCAGUGGUGCGGUGAAUACGUACCCGGGUCUUGCACACACCGCCCGU